Oryzias latipes (Japanese medaka) is the source of this 952-nucleotide long non-coding RNA. RefSeq lists it as uncharacterized. The record is from RefSeq and is a predicted model, not a curated record. NCBI's taxonomy places the organism in Eukaryota, Metazoa, Chordata, Actinopteri, Beloniformes, Adrianichthyidae.
AGAUUAGCUGUGCCGCACAGGCCUGGAUGGAAAGAUGCAGCAAUAAUCUGGGAUUGACUAAUCCCUCUGCUGCAGCAGUCCCACACCGGGGGACAGAGGAACGACGGGUGCUGGUCUUCGUCAUGGCUGGUUGGUGCUGAACGGCCUUUUUCUUUGCAGGGUGGUGCACUCCGGGGGAGUCAUGUGCACUACUAUCAUGGUUCUCUCCACUCUGGCUUUUGUUCUGCGCCAGCAUUUCCUCAACCGGGGCAAAACUUUUCCAGAAGACUCGGAGGAGAAGGAGAAACCAUCCGGCGAAGACACCAAAUCCUGACAGCUCAGGCGCACGCCGUCACCAGGGGACGUCAUGGCUGGACGAGAGGACAGGCAGGUUGCAUAUGCGCGUUUGCCUGAGCACUGAAGAGAUGUGCGAGUCUGGAGCAUAGAAAAGACACAAAGAGGCUUCAAAUGGGUGGUGAUGGAUCUUCCAACAGGAUCAUGACCCAAAAGCACACAGGAGAAGAAGAAGCAGAUCAAGAAUGCUUCUCUACAAAAACUAUCCUCCCUCUAAAAGUGGGAAAAGCCCGGAGAGUCUUCAACCUCGAUCCAGCCACAGCAGUCUUCUGUGAAACACGACUGCUUUUCCAUCAGACCACCGCCUCAGUAAAGAUAUGCUUUUUUUAUUUUAUGCUUUGCUUUGCUCCAGGAACAAACAGGAAACAGUCUGAAGGAGGCUGCCUGCCACAGGCGCCAACACCGUUGCAGGGAAACAGUUUUGUUUGGAGUUUAGUCUUCAUCUGCAACCCCUCCUGUGAUGACUGUCCCAUAAGCGUCUCAUGACAUUUAGAGGAGGAGAACUAUCUUGCUCCUGUGCAUCAUUACUCAACUGUCCCAGAAGCAGAGCUACAACACUUCAUUUCUCAUUAUUACGCUGACUGAGCGGAAAUAAAAAAAGGAGUUUUUUGUGUUGCUA